This 730-nucleotide long non-coding RNA is filed under the name Microcebus murinus (gray mouse lemur). Its description in RNAcentral is "lncRNA (ENSMICG00000048455.1)". Lineage: Eukaryota; Metazoa; Chordata; Mammalia; Primates; Cheirogaleidae. The record is from RNAcentral.
CUGAUAAGAACUUCCUCUAGAGCCAGGAAACUUUGCAAGUAUUAAAAAACCUGAAAGAAGGAGUAAAGAAGGAAGUGACUGACCAAGUGAAAAAGAGGAACAAGUUCUCAACCAGAGCAAGUUUAAAACAUAAGCAAAAGAACAAAACAGCGAGCUUGGCACAUCAAUCUUGAGGUUAUCAUGUUAUAAGACAGAAUGGACUCAUUCAUAUGGGAUUACAGAGGAAGGAGUGAUUAAGAAAAAGACAUCAGUUUCUGUCCACUCCAACAAAGGCUGGACCACUAACUGAAAGGAAGAUGUGAUGAGGCAUUGGUAGAGAGACGGAGAACACUGGGCAUCUCCAAGAACUCCCAGCAUGAGAAGCCCAUGCAAGAGAAGGAGUUGAAAUGCUGGAAACCAGCUCUCUCUCCAUCACCCUUUUCCUACAACAGCUUGGCUUUGAAGAGCAACCAGGAAAGAUUGAAAAUGUGCAGAGAAUACUGUUGUUGAGGGUGGUGGCAAGGUGUCCGCAGGAGUGACAUGGCCUGAGAGCCCACACGAGGAUUAAGGCAGCAAUAUUUCCCCGCAAGCCUGUGCUUCUAUUGCUAAGGGGACUGUGUAAGUCAGAUAAAUGUUAAACUCGUAAUUCACCCAGACACAGCUCUUAUACCAGCCAGGCCAAUCUAAUUAUCUCAGAGCAGGGACGAUGGGAACAGUGCAUGAGGGUGUGUUAGACAGUUUUCUACUAGCA